CCAGGGCCCGAGUUACUUGGAGGAGAGGCAGAUGGCUGUGGGCUAAUUCCUGAAGUGCACUUCUGGGGACCAUCAGCCCCGGCUCCCAGGGUGACAUCCCGCACAGGGCUACAGAUCUGGAAAUAGCAGCUCAGUGACAUGAGGAAGUGGCUUUCUCCAAUGGGGGCUGUGCUGGGCUUCUUCUAAGGACACUGGGAAACAUUUCAAGAUGAUGCCAUCGAUGAAGACUCUGUAUGCACUCUUUUGGGGAAGAGGACAACAGGAUCUCUCUUUGUUCUUGGGAACUCCGUAUGUGGCAGGCUUGUGUGUGCAGGUGCCCACCUUUAUGUGGCCAAACAGAGACAUGUCUAAACUGGUUUUAUAGGACUUGGAGGAAAUGCCCUAAAUAGAAAAACUGGGAGAAUAAAAUCUGUAUUGCCUUUGUGAAAAGGAAAGCAAGAAGGUGAUAGGAGAGCCACAAACAAAGGAAAAUUUUCCUUAGCCCUGUUCAACAGAGACUGGAAUUUGGUAAGAGCCAGUUCACCGUGAGCCCCACAGAGGGGUCUGAUGACUAAAAAAUUAAAAGGAUGCUGUCAUCAGGCUGCUUUCCUGAGAGGCAGUCUUACCAGACAGCCCUUGAAGACCAGAAGGGGGAGUUUCCAGUCAUCCUUGACACUUUCUCCUAGUGGAAUAGGGCAGAUGAAAAUGAGGUCUGAGAGCAAAAGUCAUCCAGCCUGGGGUUCAGCUCUAUGCAGAGCACCAGACACAGCUUCGGCUUCCAAAUGGGACUGGCUUUUAUUUCUAGAACUGAUAGAGGUGGCGGAGAAAGUUUCAUCCCAGACGCACAUCUGAGGGCAAUCUGGUUGAAGCUGGAAGCAGGCAUGCCCAUCCUUUCCUACUGCUGUCUUUAGGCCACUAACCCCUGAACUCUGCCCAGGAGCCCUUCUCCAUCUGGAGGGAUGUUGGCUGGUGGUCCAUCCUCUCCUCAUCCUCAGUCCCCCAUCUAUGGAUCUCCAGGUCAUCUCUCUAUAUAUUCCCCUAGGGUAAGAGGCUCCAUAUUGCCAGCCUCUCCAUAUUCUCCACCCUCUAUGCUCUUCCUCCAUUCUGCCUCCUGCUGUCAUCCCCAGAGGCCUCAACAUCCACUGGGACGACCCUUACCUCCUGUACUGUGGCCUGCCUGUUCCUUUCAAG
This is a long non-coding RNA of Canis lupus familiaris (dog), 1170 nucleotides long. RefSeq lists it as uncharacterized. The transcript is spliced from 3 exons. The record is from RefSeq and is a predicted model, not a curated record. NCBI's taxonomy places the organism in Eukaryota, Metazoa, Chordata, Mammalia, Carnivora, Canidae.